GAAGCAUUCAACUGGGAAGGUUGGCUGAUGGCAGUCAGCCUAAAGACAUCUCCAAUUUUGUUUUGAAUUAAUUGAUACAGGCCCAGUGUAACAGCUCUUAAAGCCCAUGUGCAGCAUGGGGUGCCUCCUCUCCUUGGACUUGCUUUGAGAGACUGGAAUUGUUCCAUGGAGAGAGACAAGGUGCUGCAGAGGACAUCCUUGGGAGUCUUCCUGGGACUUCCAUUGUCUGGAGGAAUCUAAGGAAAUCCACCCAGGCUAAGCUCAGGAAAAACAGGAGCAGGGAGCAGCUAUAAACCAGCCUGUUCAUCGUGGGCA
RNAcentral lists this long non-coding RNA (315 nucleotides) under Junco hyemalis (dark-eyed junco). Its description in RNAcentral is "lncRNA (ENSJHYG00000013296.1)". The record is from RNAcentral. Lineage: Eukaryota; Metazoa; Chordata; Aves; Passeriformes; Passerellidae.